GUCCACGCCCUAAACGAUGCGAACUGGACGUUGGGAGCAAUUAGGCUCUCAGUGUCGAAGCUAACGCGUUAAGUUCGCCGCCUGGGGAGUACGGUCGCAAGACUGAAACUCAAAGGAAUUGACUGGGGCCCCGCACAAGCGGUGGAGUAUGUGGUUUAAUUCGAUGCAACGCGCAGAACCUUACCUGGCCUUGACAUCCACGGAAUCCUUGAGAGAUCAGGGAGUGCCUUCGGGAACCGUGAGACAGGUGCUGCAUGGCUGUCGU
Molecule: ribosomal RNA, 265 nt
Filed under: uncultured bacterium
Lineage: Bacteria
Description: partial 16S ribosomal RNA
Rfam family: Bacterial small subunit ribosomal RNA
Source: RNAcentral